This is a long non-coding RNA of Acromyrmex echinatior (Panamanian leafcutter ant), 1500 nucleotides long. RefSeq lists it as uncharacterized. Lineage: Eukaryota; Metazoa; Arthropoda; Insecta; Hymenoptera; Formicidae. The record is from RefSeq and is a predicted model, not a curated record.
GUAAUCGGACUUAAGUUAUAGUCCACGUGCGAUUAUAGUCCAUUAUUCGCGAGUGUUUUUCGCGAGUGUCCAGUGCGAGAGGAUGUGUCAACCCCAACUCUGAGAGGAGGAGGAGAUCUGAGAGAGACAUCGGGCACCAGUGGAGAAACUUUGCGACCACGAUGAACCCAUGCGAUAAUAGGAGAAGGCGUCCAUUCGACAAUAUCUUCUUGCGAGGCGCUCGUACACCUGGAGCACCGCGCCGAAUUGGUGGUCCCACGCUGUAAAGUGAGCAGAACGGAUGAGGCAGACGGAUGAGGAAAUUCGGACUACGAGAACUUGGAGAACUUCUAGGCACGGAAUGGCCCUAUAAAUAAUCGACACGUUCCUGGGAGCAGCUUAGGAUGGAGGGGAGAACAACCUUGCAAGCCCUCAAACUCCGUCGUGCGUGCGUAGCUUCAGCGAUGGUGGUGGGGUCUGAAUUUUUGGAGGUUGGUAGAAUGGCCGAGAGUACGAAGGGGGUUGAAGAGAAUGAUAAAGGGAUCGAGGGGAAAAGAGGAGAUAUCGGCGCAAGAGGGGAAACGCGGAAUGGCGGCAGGAAACGGGAGGAGGAGGAGGGGGAGGGGAAAGUGAAGGAGGAGAAGAAGGAGGAGGAGGAGGAUGAGAAAGAGGUAGGGGAGGAAAGAGCGAUCAAGGGGAAGAGCCAAGCAACCUGCACCCGGCAACAGCCCCCGACCUCGGAAGAACUAAUCAUUAACCUCCUUUCACCCUCUCCGAAUGCUACCGUUCUAACUCGACCACCUUCGCUUCACUUUCACCUGUGCCUCUCUCUCGCCUACCACCCUCUUUCGCGCCCCUUCGGCCGCCCUCUUCACUCUCACUUGUCCUUCCAUCCUCGCACCCUUCCCUUUCCCUUUCGUCCGGAGUUUCCCUCCAUUUUCCCUCUUCUCACUUCUCUUCCCUUCUUCUUCGCCCACGCUGCGCCGGGUUGUGUGUUUACGAUUACGAUUACUCGCGCUCUCACUUUCGCCGCUUUCCCUUCUCGCUUUCGAUCUCACCCCGUCCUAUCGACCUCCAAACCUUGUCGCUACUUUUGGUCUACCUAAACCCGUACAACGCGAUGCACGAAACAUAGCUACGCUUAAAGACGAGGGUCUCCUUUCGACUGGCGACGAUUGCGGGAAAAAGACAACUGGGCGUUAUUUGCAGCGCUAUUCAAUUUUCUCGAGAGGAAUAUCAUUUAUUGCGUAAUAUCGAGAGACAGUAGAUCUCAUGACGGCCAGCUCUUUCUCUGACAAAGACAAAGGGGAUGUUCGAUCUCUGUCGUCACAGCUGAAGACGAAGACCAGGGCGUAUGAUUUACUGGAGGAGAAAUUUCAAGACUAGUCUCAGCUUUUGCCCUCAACGAUGAAUAAUUCACUUCCUCGACAUUCAAACUUUACUUCGGUAUGAAAAAUGCAGCACUAUUGCGUAACCAAUAUUUUAAUGUAUACAAAUAAAAGUUGCAAACGAUCAAAAAUA